Molecule: ribosomal RNA, 204 nt
Filed under: Paraphysomonas vestita
Lineage: Eukaryota; Chrysophyceae; Chromulinales; Paraphysomonadaceae
Description: partial Bacterial small subunit ribosomal RNA
Rfam family: Bacterial small subunit ribosomal RNA
Source: RNAcentral
ACGUCAAGUCCUCAUGGCCCUUAUGGGUAGGGCUUCACACGUCAUACAAUGGUGCAUACAGAGGGUUGCCAAGCCGCGAGGUGGAGCUAAUCCCAGAAAAUGCAUCGUAGUCCGGAUCGUAGUCUGCAACUCGACUACGUGAAGCUGGAAUCGCUAGUAAUCGCGGAUCAGCAUGCCGCGGUGAAUACGUUCCCGGGCCUUGUA